GGAUGUGAUAUCUGUUACCCCAUUGAUCGCAAGGGCUGAUUCGUCUGAUCUGGCCUGCUAGGUACCCCUCUGUCACUGCUCCAUGGGUGCCCCUCCUGAAGCUCUGCGCUCAGUGGAAGAGGACGACUGUCCCAGGUUGGGGAGAGGUUAAAA
RNAcentral lists this small nuclear RNA (153 nucleotides) under Anolis carolinensis (green anole). RNAcentral describes it as "7SK RNA". It matches the Rfam family "7SK RNA", at positions 1 to 179 of the family's 331-position model. Rfam says of the family: 7SK was discovered as an abundant small nuclear RNA in the mid-70s but a possible function has only recently been suggested. Lineage: Eukaryota; Metazoa; Chordata; Lepidosauria; Squamata; Anolidae. The record is from Rfam by way of RNAcentral.